UACGAUCAUAUCACGUUGAAACACCGUUUCUCGUACGAACGAUCACCGAAGUUAAGCAUCGUUGAGCUUGGUCAGUACCUAAAUGGCUGGACGUAUCGGAAUUCUAUAUGCUGUAA
Non-coding RNA from Acanthosepion pharaonis, 116 nucleotides. The record is from the annotation of a GenBank genome assembly. NCBI's taxonomy places the organism in Eukaryota, Metazoa, Mollusca, Cephalopoda, Sepiida, Sepiidae.